Molecule: long non-coding RNA, 731 nt
Filed under: Hordeum vulgare
Lineage: Eukaryota; Viridiplantae; Streptophyta; Magnoliopsida; Poales; Poaceae
Description: long non-coding RNA (HVUL_LNC014539)
Source: RNAcentral
UCAAAAAUAUUCCAUCUAAAUCCUGGUAUAUGUUCCUUUUUUAGAUCGUUUAUAGAAUCAAUAAUAUAUAACGACAUCAGGAUCAAUGAUCAAAGAUCGACUAAGAAACUCAGGGAUUAGGGAAUCAUACUUACCUUGUUAAGAAUGGUAUCGAUGGAAUUAGUGAAGGGAUGUGUGGCACACAGACCAAUAGAUCUGUGCGUCCUUGAUACACGCAUGUACGUACACGAAGGUUGCUGGGUUGAAACUUGAAAGGAGAUUGAUUCAUCUCUCGACCAGACAAUACAAGAACAUGAUUUCGUUCUGUAUCUUUAGCCCAAGCACCCCUAUCUCUGUGUUCUCUUAUUUCUUCGCACUGUCCUCAUCACCUCGGCAUCCCGAUCUAGUGCCUCUGGCCAUGCCACCCCGGCGACGUCGCCCCAGCCUGCCCACCUGUGUUGCACGGCUUCUCCACAAGCUUUUGCUUCUGUGUUUGCUGCGUCAGCCCCACCAUGCCAUGGCCACUAUCUCGCGAUAUGGGAAAAUCUGGAGGGGAGAGGCAAUUAAAAAAAAUUGGUUCUUGCUUUCCAAUUAAGAUCUGAAUGAAGACGUUGUGGCGUCACGAGACGGCCAUCUGAAUUUCCACGACGACACAAAACUGAAUGCAAGUAAUAUUGCUCUAUGAAAAUCUACACAGGAGUACACCAAGAGCUGCAGCGACAUUUUCUGCAUGUAGUAUGGUUAAAACUACC